RNAcentral lists this ribosomal RNA (454 nucleotides) under uncultured bacterium. RNAcentral describes it as "bacterial SSU rRNA". It matches the Rfam family "Bacterial small subunit ribosomal RNA", at positions 338 to 795 of the family's 1533-position model. The record is from RNAcentral.
CCUACGGGAGGCUGCAGUGGGGAAUAUUGGGCAAUGGGCGAAAGCCUGACCCAGCGACGCCGCGUGAGGGAAGAAGGUCUUCGGAUUGUAAACCUCUGUUGACAGGGACGAAAGCGGGGCAACCCGCCUGACGGUACCUGUCGAGGAAGCCACGACUAACUACGUGCCAGCAGUCGCGGUAAUACGUAGGUGGCGAGCGUUAUCCGGAUUUACUGGGUGUAAAGGGUGUGUAGGCGGAGAUGCAAGUCAGGUGUGAAAUUUACGGGCUCAACCCGUGACAUGCGCCUGAAACUGUGUCCCUUGAGUGUCGGAGGGGUAAACGGAAUUCCCGGUGUAGCAGUGAAAUGCGUAGAUAUCGGGAGGAACACCGGUGGCGAAGGCGGUUUACUGGACGACAACUGACGCUGAGACACGAAAGCGUGGGGAGCAAACAGGAUUAGAUACCCCAGUAGUC